GCCCCUCGGAAAAUAAUAAACAAUCGAGUAAAAUGCGGCGCGGCGGCCGCGCCCCCUCCCCUGGAGCUGCCCCUCGCCCGCAGCCCUGCCGCCGGAAAAGCCUUUCCUGAAGGCGCCGCACGAAAAUUGCCUUCAGCCAGAAGCUACUGCUGCACUGAAGACCAAGUAAAGCCAUCUCUCGGCUUUCCCCGAUCCUCUUGUCUCAAAGCUAAGUUGUGCCAGGCUGCAGGUGCCCUCCAGCUACGAGCUUCGGGGCAGUGGAGAUCUGUGUACGGUGGGACGGGAAGGGACGGGCUGGGUACGUGUGUGGCAGCCAGGUGUGCCGAUCCAGUGUGCCAAAUGCCUAGAGGCAGGGCAGCGACAGGGAGACCUGGAAGCCACACCUCUGAAACCGUGUCGGUUGUCUGCAAAAAUCGUCCCCGAGGUGACUGUCCUGUCCGCAUGAUGCUGUGCAGAGAGAUUCAUCCACAGUCCUUACUUCGUUGUGCUGGUGCUUACACAGCACAGCCCUGCAAUAGCUCUCACAACCCUGCUUCCCUCUGCCUGCAAACAGAAGGCGCGCUUGUACAGCAGGGGAUUUAACCGGGGACCAGGUGACGGGAAUAAGGGCUGCAGGAAAGGAUUUACCUUCUCUCAGGCUCGCAGCCUGGCCUCUCUUUUUGACAGCAGGCGCCCAAUACGGCCUAUUUCACUUCCUCCAAAGAAUUAAUUAUUUUCUCCUGUACGUGGCCCCUGGAGGAAGAAGUCUAAGCACCUCCCUCAUGCUGUCAUCCUGUAUUUCCAGUGAUCAGAGCACUUGUUCAGGAGCUGAAGAUGUGGCUCCUGGUCCUUUUCCCAGAACUUUGUGUUUUCUUCUCUGACAGAUGUUUGAUGUAAAGUACAUAGAGCACACUUUCAAAAGUGGACUGAAAUGCAAGGCUGCUCCCCUCCCUUCCCCAUGGCAAUGUUAUUACUGCUAGGUCAUGGCCUCUCCUCGAUUGCUCCGGUGAAUCCCGAAGCCCCACCCUGUUCCCCCAAGCAGCAGUACGGGUUCAACAGGCUGUGUUAGGCUAGCCUGCCUCCCUGCUGCCAUACUCUUCGGCAAGGUCAGAGCGAGGCAUCUGAACCCCGGCGGGCAGAAGAAGGAGAAAAUGACCUCGUGUCUCCUGGUGCGAGGGGCACUGCAAGGCACACAGGGGGAAGGAAAUCUCCCCUGGGCAGUUGAGGAAGGGUUCAAAGGGGUUGGUGAAGUGUUAAGCAAAAGCAGUCAGCGGCUUAGCACAUGGUGGGGAAGUCGAUUAUAAGCAUUUGCAGCUGGUUCUCUCUCUCUCCUACCUCGGAGGAACUGGGGAACUGCUGACUCAGGAGCUGCAUCAAGUCGGAGGAAUGGGAAGGGGGUCAUGUUUCCUGAGUGCCUGUACACGCCGCAGAGCGAUGCCAGAGCGCCGGGCACCUCCUGUCCCGUCUUGGAAGAGCCAUCACAGCGGCGUGCUCUAGGAAUCCAGAGCCUGCUGCUAUGUGUUGGAUGUGCUCUGGGCAGGCUACGCAGCCGGGGCCCUGGGUCUCGUCUUGCAUGGAAACGUGUCCGAGCUACGAAUUCCAGCACUGGCUCCAGGGGGAAGACAGGCACAGAGCUGCCCAACACGGGGUGCUUGUGGAAUGACAAGCUGUGGGGCAAUCUUUGCUCUCAGGGCCUGGGCAUUUCCCUUUCACUGGUUCAGCAAGGAUCAACAAGAAGAGGCCAAGUCUGACGAGUAAACCAUGCAUGGUUUGAGCCACCUGGCAAUGAACUCUGCAGGCAUGGGUGGCAACCUUUCUGCUUUUAUCAUGAACCUGAGAGCAGUAUAACCAUCUGGCUAGUUAUAAUUUAACAGAAACCCCAUUUUUCAUCUCACUGUGGUGGUAUGCUUUCUUUUAAAUGUCAUCUGUAGAGUCUCCCAGUGAGUGGGAGCUUCAGUUUUGCUUUGUGUUUCUUACAGAUCCUGACAAAAACUAGUCCACCAGGUUACUGAAUAAGAGCCAUAUUCCUUCUUAGAGGACAAAGCACACUAAAAAGAGUUUACAGUAACUGUAAUACUUCAAUCAAAAUAUUUUUCAGUAUAUAUUUGUCAUUUAUAACCAGUAGAAUAAUUGACUGGCUCUUUUAUUAAUUUUGAAAGCUUACAUUUUCAGCAGCUUUAUUAAGCAAGUAAAUUAAUCUUCAGCUUUCCUGUAGGACUGGAGCUUGUUCAUCAUGGCUGUGCCUUCCAUCAUUUUUUGGUAAUUGAUAGUAGUAAUUUCAAAUAAGUUCAGAUAUUUUGUUAAAAAUAAACAGAGUAUGCAUAUGUCUUCUGGAUCAGCCCCUUAAUGUGACCUCUCCUGUCUGCUCAAAUUAUAGUAUCAAAACAAAAAUCUUCAGGAAAAAUUGAGCCAGUUGAAUGAAUACAUAAUCAGUAUUAAAACCAAUACCAUGUGGACUAAUUGCUGUCUUCAAUUAAAUUACACUGAGAUCCUAUAUUUUAGCCAUCUUAAAUAAAAUCCUCUUUAAAGUUCUUUCAAGCUUUUUGUCAGUUUAGGCAUGUAUUCCUAUUUUAACUUGUAUGUAUAUUUGUUAGGACUAUUGCUUGUCUGUAGAUGGCAAUAGCAUUACAGUGCUGAAGUGGCCCCCAGCCUGUGAAAUAAGGCUGAUGUUGGUGAGCAUUAACUUUGAGAAUGCAGAGAAAAAAAUCUUGCCUUUUUCUUUUCUGUUUUGUUUUUUGUUUUGUUGGGGUUUUUUAAAUGUCUGCAGCACUGGCAAUGGGGACUGUUCUACUUGCAGGAAUGUUGGGACUAAUCAUGUGAGAAAAGAUCCUGGAGUGAUGAGGCAGCGUAUUUCCCAUGUCUGAGGUCAGGAUUUUUUCUGUGAAGCUGACCUUUAAAACAGCCUGAAAAUGAGGAACGUGGCACCAGCCAGCAGAGCAGGAAGCAUGAAAUUAUAGUCCUGAGGGACAAACAAAUGGAUAUAAGCACGUACUGUAUUUGUGAGACUAGCACUGGGAUGGCUUGCAUGUUAUAAAUUGAUGUUGAAAAAUGGAUGGUGGAACAUUAGAGCCACACAAAAUGAUUCAGAGCCUGAAGAAAAUGCUUCACAAUGGGAGACAUGAAGCACUUUGUCUCUUUAGUUUAUCAAAAAAGGCCGAGCAGAGAAUUGAUUAUGAUGGUGAAGGAACUUCCUUGGAAGAAAAAUAUCAGGUACUGAAAGGCUCUUUAAUCUAGUAAAUUAUGGGAAUGUGUUUCAGCAAGCUGAAAUCAAAUACAUUCAUAUGAAAAACCGGGCACAAAUUUAUUGAAAUGAAGGUGGUUAAUCACCAUAACGAGCUGUCGGGGUAGUUGGAACAUUUUCAAGAUGUGUCCAAGCCAAGACAGGCCUGUUUCUGAAGGGUGUGCACUAACCACAGUUAUAAGUGGAAGGGACACUGCAGUCAAGUCUCAAGCAAGGUAAACAGGUGAGGUUUGAAGGACCGUGAUGUGUGACAGGCUUGACUAACAGCUCCCAAUGGAGCCGUGAAGAUCUAAUGGUUCCCAUGUGUCCUUAACCUCCGAGAGGCUGAGAAAAACAGCACUUAGCAGAAAGUGAGAGGAAGGAAUCAGAAUGACAGCCUCAUCUCUGGCACAUUCCUGUGACCUCUAUUUCUAGAAGGACUGUGUCUUUCACCUGUUUGGGGCUUUACUAAUGUUUGCUCUACUCCCAAGACAAGAACAACCUUUCUCCAGUCCACAAGCUCUCUGUACAGAUUGGCAUCAGCACCUUUAAUUUUAGGAGAGUGUGAGUAAAAAUUUGUAAUGCUCAGCAGCUCAGUGGUAGCUAGGAUAAGUAGUUUCCUUUUUCAUUUUUUUUUUGGUUUUUUUUAAUUCCAUCUUCUUAAGCUUUGGACUUGCCUGUUCUUCACGCCUCCUAGUUUCCCUUGUAUCCAUUUCCUUGUAUUGCCUUUGCCACCAGGCUCAGAGUAUUUUCCUGCAUUGAUAAUCUGUGGUGCAGGAUGUCUUGGAAGAUGCUUCCUACCUAUACUUUGACAAAAUAAAACCUGUCUUUCUUGCAGAGAUUUCACAUGGAAUGGGUAUGUCAGUGAUGUGCUGUGUAGAUAAGAGCUUGUCAGGAACUUUUUGAUAAAGUACCUUUCAUCCAGAAGUACAAAUUUGUAGCUGCUGUAGCUAUUGACAGAAACACACUGAGGUAUCUUUGCAAAAUACCUGCAGUCUGUAUCUAGAGAAGUGCUCUAAUUUUAAAAACAAGGCUCCUUUUUCAGAAAACCAGUUGGUGGUGGAGAUCAGGAAUUUCUUAUCUCCUGUUGCCUUUUUCUGGGGUCCUAUUUAUUCUCCAUCUGCCAGGGAUGGUGCAAGUAUUUUAUUCUCUCAAUCCCUAAAACAAGUUUGCUCACUUCUCCUUGUUCUAAAGGGCAGUUAUGUACAAAGUCAGAGCUGAAACAAGUAAUUUCAGACAGCAUCCCUAUCUUCAAAUUGGAGAGACAUGGACUUAAAAGGUGGACUGUUUGAUGGAUAAGGCAUUGACUGGAUGGAUGCAGCCAGAGAGUUGUGGUCAAGUCUCUAUGCCUAGGUAGAGGCUGGUGCUGAGUGGUGUCCCUUGAGGCUCUGUCUUUUUAGUCUCUUUAUUAAUGACAGUAGGACCAAGUGCACCCUCAGCAAAUUUGCAGAUGACAAAAAGCUGAGCACUGCAGUUGGCACAACAGAGGGAAGGGAUGCCAUCUAGAGGAACCUGGACAAACUGGAGAACUGGACCCACUAGAACCUCGUGGGGUUCAACAAAUGCAAGGUACUGCAGCUGGGUCAGGGCAAUCCCAGACAGUACAGAUUGGAAGAACUCAUGGAGAUUCAGCCCUGUGGAGAAGGACCUUUGGGUUCUCGUGGAUGAAAAGCUGGACAGGAGCCAA
Cyanistes caeruleus (blue tit) is the source of this 4886-nucleotide non-coding RNA. The record is from RefSeq and is a predicted model, not a curated record. NCBI's taxonomy places the organism in Eukaryota, Metazoa, Chordata, Aves, Passeriformes, Paridae.